AACGAACGCUGGCGGCAUGCCUAACACAUGCAAGUCGAACGAGACCUUCGGGUCUAGUGGCGCACGGGUGCGUAACGCGUGGGAACCUGCCUUUAGGUUCGGAAUAACUCAGAGAAAUUUGAGCUAAUACCGGAUGAUGUCUUCGGACCAAAGAUUUAUCGCCUUUAGAUGGGCCCGCGUUGGAUUAGCUAGUUGGUGGGGUAAAGGCCUACCAAGGCGACGAUCCAUAGCUGGUCUGAGAGGAUGAUCAGCCACACUGGGACUGAGACACGGCCCAGACUCUUACGCGAGGCAGCAGUGGGGAAUAUAGGACAAUGGGCGAAAGCAUGAUCCAGCUAUGCCGCGUGAGUGAUGAAGGCCUUAGGGUUGUAAAGCGCUUUUACCCGAGAUGAGAAUGACAGUAUCGGGAGAAUAAGCUCCGGCUAACUCCGUG
RNAcentral lists this ribosomal RNA (433 nucleotides) under uncultured bacterium. RNAcentral's name for it is "partial 16S ribosomal RNA". It matches the Rfam family "Bacterial small subunit ribosomal RNA", at positions 29 to 507 of the family's 1533-position model. The record is from RNAcentral.